AAGGUCUUAACUAAACACACGCUGUCUGUCUGUGGGGUUGUUUGAGCUUUGUGUGUUGUGUUCUUAAUCAUUAUUUCGGAUUAUUUUUCCUUCUGCACUUGCAGAAGGUCUGAGCUCAUUCUCUGUCAGUGCGGUUGUGUCGACUCCUCCCUCUCGUGUAACGUAGGCUGAUCUUCCUUCCGAAUGGUCUAUAGCGUUUAAAAGCCUCAUCGCAAUGCAGUGGAAGCGUUUGUUUGUAAGCUAAUGUGUGUGCAACGUGCUGUCCUUGGACAUAGAAAUCUGCUUUUCGGAAAGAUCAGUCUGAAAAAGGUUACAUUAAACGUAUCUGGUUUGUCAAGAAGUGAAAAUAGUAAAGUGCCGUGUGUCAUCUUGUUUAUUAGAGGAGUGAAGCUGUAUUGGAGUUCUGCACAAACAGGUUUAUAGGGCUGCCUUCGAAUGAAGGAAAUCUCGGUCGACCAGUGAACACUUUUUUUUUUUUUCCAUCUGAAGUUGAUUCGUUGAAACUUUAAAACAUUGAUUUUUGUUGUCUUUCCCAGUGUAUAUUGUGAAGUAGGGGUGGGGGUGAAGGAGGACGAUUGUGGACCGGGGGGAUUAGCUAAAUUAUUAUGGUCGCUAGUGUUUGUGAGCAAUCUUAGGCUAACCAUAAAAGGUGAAAAAAAAUAAAAAAUGAGGUCGCUUGUUACAUUUCCAAAAAAAAACACCCUGAAUUUUUUUUAAACGAGCCUGAAAAAAUGCAACUUCACAUUUUUUUCAAGCAACUUCUGGGGGAUAAAAAGCCCAAAGUCAUUAUAAGCAUUCUUGGCCACUCCAGAGAAACUGACUUGUUAUUGUGAAAGCUGGGUGUUCGUCAUGGGAAAGACUGAAUAACUUUGCAGUCACAGCAAAGUUGUUGGAAAUCAUGAAGUGUUUAAAAAAAAAAAAAAUCAUUAAUUUAUUAAGUUAACCGGUAGACCUCAUGUGCAGCAGUAGUAAAAAGAUUGAAAUAAUGUUCAGCUGUACCAACAGUAACAGAUUUUUGAAGUUUAUAAACAAAAAAUCAGAGGGAAGUUGGCACUUGGAACAAAAUAUGCGUUGACAAGGCGGGUGAAUGUAAUCACUUCGGUCCAUCAUGGAAAGAAUGAACGUGUUUUUAUUCUGCCUUGUUCUUAGAAACAGCAUGCCCAGAUAUCACGAAAAGAUCCAGGAAACUGAAAUGUGUGAAAUCUUUGCUGAUGUGCUGUUUUUAAUACAUUUUUGCUAUCGCAAACGGUGGAUGAAUAUUUUAAAAUGAUUCUAGCAAAAGAAAUAAAUAAAAGUCUGUCCCGAAAUUGGCUUGCUUUCCUACUUGGCCAAAUGCCAGGUUUUCAGUGGGCGGGGUUCACUGGGUGUUCGUUACGUAAAAAAAACCGUAAGUCCAGUGAAAUCUUUUCUCCAUGUAAUAUUUAAAUGACACGCUUGCCACUUUUGUGUGGGUAAGGACAGCUAAGUUGAAAAUGCCUGAGCAUUGCCCCCUUCUCUGGAUGUGGAGAAGACAAUACGCUGUCUUCUUUUCGCAAAAAUGAAGAGUCAUAGCUUCAAGAAAUGGGUUUUCUUUCUGGGGUUUGUUUCUAGUUACCAUCCAAAAUUGCUGAAAAAUCACAGAAAGAACUAAAAAUGGCUUAAAAUAGGGAAUGUCACAGAACUGCCAGAACAAAUGGCAAAAACGUGGAAUCUGUGACACUCGCGUGACAAACACUCAGUCGUAGUUUUGCCGAUUGUUGGAAAUGAUAUUGCAACCAAAUUCCGUGAUCUCAGCGAUUGGUGCGUUUGAAAGACAAUCGUACUCGUAUUGACCAGGUGAGCACGCAGGUUUUUCAACAGGUGUUUCUGGGCAAUCGGUGUGAUCUGUUUUCUGUACUGUCAAACCACUUCAAUAAUGUAGGCUAAUGGUUGAGUGGAGAUGUCAUAGCAGGGACAUAAUGUGUUUUAUAGGAUCGAUAUUUUGGAGAAAGGUUGAUUGUUUAUAUGAAUUAGUGUGAUUAUAAUUAAGAUUUUAAUGUUGUACAUGGCUGAUGCGCUGUGCACAUGCCCUGUGUUUGGGUCAGAAUAAUUUACGCCUGUGCACAUGCCCUGUGUUUGGGUCAGAAUAACUUGCGCCUGUGCACAUGCCCUGUGUUUGGGUCAGAAUAACUUACGCCUGUGCACAUGCCCUGUGUUUGGGUCAGAAUAACUUGCGCCUGUGCACAUGCCCUGUGUUUGGGUCAGAAUAACUUGCGCCUGUGCACAUGCCCUGUGUUUGGGUCAGAAUAACUUGCGCCUGUGCACAUGCCCUGUGUUUGGGUCAGAAUAACCUGCGCCUGUGCACAUGCCCUGUGUUUGAGUCCCGAUGUGACCUGGAGCUGACCCUGUGCCAGGGACACCCUCGCCUCCCUACCCCUCAGAAUGGCUUUCCGGAGGAUUCUGUGUGUUCUUGGAUUGCAAGCAUAUAAUCGUGAGAGUCCUUGAGUGUGCAGCUCUUGCUAGAUCAUUGGUGGGGGGGGAAGUGUUUUUCACUCUCUCUCUCUCUCUCUCUCUCUCUCUCUCUCUCUCUCUUUCUCCCUCCCUCCCUCCCUCCCCGUCUCCGUCUCUCUCUGGUAUGAGUUAGUGUCAGUGUGUGGGCGGAGCGGGAGUUAAUCACUGUGUUUUGUGUGAGCGGUGCGUGUGCGGAGCUGGAGUUAAUGGUCGUGUGUUAAGUGCGCGGCGUCCAAUUAGAGACGCGUCCUGCCCCCGCUGCCGUGGCCUGUCUGUGAGCUGUCUGUGAGCUGUCUGUGAGCUGUCUGUCGCUGUGGGCUCGGAAACGCUUCUCCUAAACCCCCCCCCCAGUGCAUCGUUUCAGCACUGCGCAGAUAGUCAUAUGAAGCAAUAAUAAUAAUAAACCUUAUUUAUUGUUUUAUUGGGCCCUUAUAUACCCAACAUGGCUGCCAGUACGCUGGCUAUAAUGCAGCUUUUCAAGAUUCAGGAUUCAAGAUUCCCUUGGUUUUCCAGGUUUUCCUGAAAUUUUCUGCAAAGGAAGAGUCUUUUCACAGUUGAGAGUAUACGUGGGUGGCAGUGUAGCGUAAUGGGUAAGGAACUGGCCUUGUAACCUAAAGGUCAUAGGUUCGAUUCCCGGAUAAGACUCUGCCGUUGUAGCCUUGAGCAAGGUACUUAGCCUGCAUUGCCUCAGUAUAUGUCCAGUUGUUUACAUGGAUGCAGUGUAAACGCUGUGUAAAAAACGUUGUGUAAGUCACUCUGGAUAAGAGCGCCAGCCAAAUGCCUGUAAUGUACUGUAAUGUACUGUAAUGGGUAAUAUGGAUUCCUUUGGGGUUAAUCUUGUGGUUGAGGCUGGGGUUUGGUGAGGUGCCACUAUGGUAAACAUCUGCUCUAUUCCACCUGGGUUUCCCAGGGGACUGAAACGUCAACUUUGCUUUUUGUAUCGUUCAAAAUAAUUAUUCAGGCUACAAAUGAAUCGAAAACGAUUUACAGAAUUCAGAUUCAGAUGUGGAUACUUUAAUGACCACACAGCCAAGGCUGGUUGAAUUUGUGAGCUGUGCAGAAUAGUAAGAAAAACAGCAGGGUCCCAACAUUUAACGCCAACAUCAUAAUAACUUCUAACACAAUACAGACAAUUUAACACAAUGCAACAUGGGACAUCCCAGACAUUUUAACACAAUAGAAUAUGAGACAUCAUAGACACAGAAGCAUGACAGACAGUAGUUCACUGGCAGAAGCUGCUGGUUGCUUUUUGUGCUGUACCCAGUUGUCACAGAAACGUCUGACACAUAGAAACGUCUGACUUGGUUUUACCUGACGGAACUUGGCAACGUGGCACACUUCUCAACCCCGGUGCUGGGGCCCUCUGCUGUGCCGCUGCUUUUGUUCCAGCCGUAAUAACAAGCUUUGUGUUGUAACGAGCUGCUAAUCGUUCUUAAUUAGACACUUUCACCGUCUAUCGAAGGACGAUUUCCCCUCCUAAUGCCUCCUUCUGCCAGAAAUAACUUGGCAUGCCCGAAAAAAUAAAUAUCCCAUUUUCACAUCCCAGGGAUUUCAGUCGCUCAAUUGAUCAGUUGCUUUCAUUUGCUGUGCUGUGUGUGGUGUAUGCCAGAUAAUUCCAAUUGAAAUUGGUUCCGUUUUUAAAUGAUUUUAAUUCAAACUGACAGGUGAAAUCAGUUGGCUCCUAUUUUCUGAGAGUGUGCAAACAUGAAGCCAUCUGUGUGAAAUAAAUGGAGUUUAACUGACAGCAAAUUGCAACAAGCCAAACCCACAUUGUGUGUGUUCCAACAAAUUUAACCGCACAAUUUAAUUUAACCUUUUUAAAAACCUUAAUGUUUUAAACUGUGUAACUGAAACCAGCUGACACAGUGCUGUAUGAGAGCUGGGAGCUGGUUAAAAAGAGCCUUUCUUUAUUGAGCUUUAGUGGGCCCUCAUUGGACAGCCAUGCAAGCUGCGUGUGCAUAAUCAUGGUUUUUAUGAUGGAAUUACCUUUCUGCAGCCAGAUUCACGCAUGUGUGUUUGGAGUUUUUUUGGGGGGCUUUACCUGUUAACUAAAACAUGCCACAAUAUCUAGAAUGACUUUUUUAUGUGUAUUUUUGCCUCCCCGUCCCAGAAAUUAUUAACUAUUGUAUGCUGACAUUUUAUUUUGGGCAAAAAAAAAAAGUAAUAA
This is a long non-coding RNA of Anguilla rostrata (American eel), 4636 nucleotides long. RefSeq lists it as uncharacterized. The record is from RefSeq and is a predicted model, not a curated record. The transcript has 2 exons. Lineage: Eukaryota; Metazoa; Chordata; Actinopteri; Anguilliformes; Anguillidae.